CUUUUAAUGGAUUCUGGAGUGAGCAG
This 26-nucleotide non-coding RNA is filed under the name Cricetulus griseus (Chinese hamster). Lineage: Eukaryota; Metazoa; Chordata; Mammalia; Rodentia; Cricetidae. The record is from RNAcentral.